This 357-nucleotide unclassified non-coding RNA is filed under the name soil metagenome. RNAcentral describes it as "partial contains 5.8S ribosomal RNA, internal transcribed spacer 2, and large subunit ribosomal RNA". The stretch from base 1 to 120 matches the Rfam family "5.8S ribosomal RNA", at positions 35 to 154 of the family's 154-position model. The record is from RNAcentral.
GAUGAAGAACGUAGCGAAAUGCGAUAAGUAAUGUGAAUUGCAGAAUUCAGUGAAUCAUCGAAUCUUUGAACGCACAUUGCGCCCGUCAGUAUUCUGGCGGGCAUGCCUGUUCGAGCGUCAUUACGCCCCUCAAGUCCCCUGUGGACUUGGUGUUGGGGAUCGGCGAGGCUGGUUUUCCAGCACAGCCGUCCCUUAAAUUAAUUGGCGGUCUCGCCGUGGCCCUCCUCUGCGCAGUAGUAAAACACUCGCAACAGGAGCCGGCGCGGUCCACUGCCGUAAAACCCCCCAACUUUUUAUAGUUGACCUCGAAUCAGGUAGGACUACCCGCUGAACUUAAGCAUAUCAAUAAGCGGAGGA